CCCUUAGACGUUCUGGGCCGCACACGCGCUACACUGACGGAGCCAGCGAGUAUAAACCUUGGCCGAGAGGUCUGGGAAAUCUUGUGAAACUCCGUCGUGCUGGGGAUAGAGCAUUGUAAUUAUUGCUCUUCAACGAGGAAUUCCUAGUAAGCGCAAGUCAUCAGCUUGCGUUGAUUACGUCCCUGCCCUUUGUACACACCGCCCGUCGCUACUACCGAUUGAAUGGCUUAGUGAGGCUUCCGGAUUGGUUUAGAGAAGGGGGCAACUCCAUCUUGGAACCGAGAAGCUAGUCAAACUUGGUCAUUUAGAGGAAGUAAAAGUCGUAACA
This 328-nucleotide ribosomal RNA is filed under the name uncultured eukaryote. RNAcentral's name for it is "partial 18S ribosomal RNA". It matches the Rfam family "Eukaryotic small subunit ribosomal RNA", at positions 1470 to 1796 of the family's 1831-position model. The record is from RNAcentral.